GUCCGAUCGAUGUCUCUCUCGCUAUCCGCUGAAAUAGGCUUUGACUCUCCAUGCAUUUACGCCGUAGCCCCUCCAUCAGCACAGAAUGAAAUCUUCCACUAGACUCCAACUCCACCUUCAACAUGACUCCAUGUAGCUGGCCAUGCUACCCCACGCCCUGUCGACUUCAAGCUCUCAUAUGUACACAACCUUGAAUCACCCCCGUGCCAUAGCCCGUCGAAGCCACACAAGCCCUCAUGCAUGCACCAUGUGUUUCCACGCCCCAGAAGUUGGCCACCAUCAGCAUCACGCUCCUAUGUCGUCGUUGCUGAAAUCACCGCCAUCUUCUACUUGGACCGGCAUCCCCGUCGAUCCGUUAGACUUUCCAGUCCGACCCAGCCAAAACCAUGCUCCACCCUACGUCUUGUCCGCCCCUUCAUGCAUUGCUUGAUGCCAUGUGUAUGCAUGAUCCCUCAUGAUGCGCUCCUGUAACCCUAUUCGCACAUCAUCAGUCUUGUUUCCCCUUUAUCUGCCAUGUCAAACCACACCACCUGCAACCAUCAUGUCUUUUUUCCCAACGUACCAUGCAAAGAACACCGGAAGGAGUCUCCUUUUUUCAGUCUUUUUGUACAUGCAUGUAGCAGCGAGCUCAAGCUCACCUUCAUGCAUGCAGCACACGAGACUUCCUUUGACCAUUUUCUUGUCCUCUACUUUUCCACGCUAUAGAUCAAUCCGAUGGUAACCAGAACUCCAUGUUCUAACACGUAGCAGCUCUCUUGAGAAACGAAACCUCUUUUUUUCUUAACAAGUUAUGACGAUAUGCUUUAAAUCUGGCUUUCUCAUGCUAUCCUGGUUCAACAUUGCAGCGCCCCAGUCUUGCCUGCACACGCGUGUACCUGAGCCGCAUCAGGCCUUCCCCUUGCACUCGUCGCACCAGCUGCCUGCUGCCUUCAACCUCCAGGGCCUUGCCACCCACCUGGGCUGCACCAGGUCACCACGCGUCGCCUUUGACCACACGCACCAGACGUCCGCGCGUGCUGCACCCCGUGAUUCGUCAGAUCGAUCUCCAGCCGUCGUGCGCUACGUCACGUCAUCAGUGGACAAGAUCCAAUCUCGAUCGUUCUCGCCGAGUCCUCUGGAAAACGCAGCCGUCGCUUCGGAUUGAUCUGCUACUCGCACCGCAGUCUGCGAUCGCUUUGAUUUUUGAUGCCGAUGCACACAACGCACAACAUGUCUUCGUCCGGACCAGCCCCGUGAUCAACAAUGAACUUUCUACCCCAUCCGAUCUUUUGCUUCCGCCACUGACGGUGUCGACCGCACAUAGAGCUCCAUCCAUCCUUUAGAUCAACAAACCAUGCUACUUCGAACCUUUCUCAUGAUCCACUUGUUAGAAUAAUCGGAGACACUCCAUUGAGGACCAAGCCAUCACACGAGCAUGGCACCGAGAUUUGUUAACGAGGUUCUCCUCCCCGUUACGGGCGCUCCUCCCCGUAACAUCGUCACAAUACCGCACCCUGGUCGUCCGGACGCCAGUACAAGCCGCCGGCUCCCGUGCGUACCUGUGCUAUUAUGUUGGCAUAUGUUACAUCGUGUGUCUACCAUCUCAUUAUAUAAGAGGCAUAAGGGUACAUAUGUCCUAAUAGGACAUGACUCCUAUCUUGUCUACACACCGUACUACUCCAAGUCCAACUGUAACCUACCUUGUAUAAUAAUAUUCGACACAACUCUAACACCCUAGGUGAGCACAGCCAGCAUAUCCUAAUAACUUUCUGAUCCCUCCUACUCCUACCGCACAGUGGACGACAUUGACUACACAUUUUUGUUGAUUACUUAGAGCAGAUAAAGAUUGGAUUACAUCGAUCAAGAUAUGUGUUUUGGGUUUUGGGAUAGUAUAGGAUUGUGUUUGUGAGGGUCCGAGAGAUGAGUGAAGAGUGGAGAACCAGCUGGGAAAGGGAUGCUCUUUAAAGAUAUACUAAUGGUAACAGAAAGGAAGAAAAGUCACUUGAAUCACUAGUAGAAAUAAGGGUUUUUGUCCUAGCUCCAAAAACACAUUAGUCCCGGUUUCAUUACGAACCGGGACUAAUGUUAGCAUUAGUCCCGAUCCGAGCGGCAAAGACGCCGUUCGGGCAUUAGUCUCGGUUCAAAUGGGUGUCUCGAACCGGGACUAAAGGGUUUGGAGGCUUUAGUCCCGGUUCGUUUCUUGAACCGGGACUAAACGGUAGACCUUUAGUCCUGGUUCGUGACACGAACCGGGACUUAAGGGGUUCAGAUUUAAUUUUUUCUGUUUUUAAAUUUUUGUUUCUAGUUUCUGUUUUAAAUUGCUUAUAUCUUUUAGGAUAUUUGAUGUUUUUAUUGAUUCUUUUUUGCAUUAGAUUCAAAAUUUUGUCUAGUUUCUGUUUGUGCCAUUAGUUUUCAAAUUUGAAUGGUUUAGAUUUGAAUUUGUUCAAAUUUGCUUCAAACCCAGUUUUUGAAUAACUUGAGUUUACAAAUAGUUUUUAAUUUAAUUCUUUUUGCUCCCACUCAUGUGUUAGAUUAUUGUCACAGUAAGAUUUAUUUGAUUAUUUUUACAAUAAUUUAAAUUAGGAUUUUAAUUAAAACAAUAUUGUUUUGCUUAUAUAGUUGUUUUAGUUAUUUAGUUGUUGUUUUUUAUUAUUUUUAGUUAGUUCUUUCUGUAGACUUUAACAUGUUAUAGUAUGGUGCAUAUUGAAUGCACAAAAAGUCUAGAGUUGAAAUAAUUUUAAAAAAAAUGCCUUUGUAGCAGAUGGAUUUUCGUGUGAAACCUUAAUACUUCGAAGGAGAUGAUCUAGUUUGUACACGAAGUGUAUCCAGUUUUUGUCGUAACCCACUCAACUUUGUAGCACAUGGUAUGUGGGUGAAAUGAUGAUACCAUAACAAGUUUCAGCCAUUUCAGAGUUCAUUUGUAGCGUUUUCCAAUUUCAGGGUUAUUUAGCUCAAAAAAAAUAAGUAAAUGCAUGAAAAAUACGAAAUGGAGUCUGAAAAUGUUGAAAAUUUAUGAUGUGGCUUUGAAUGGGGCAUUUUGAACACACAAAAGUAUGGAGUUCAAAUAAGUUUAAAAAAAUAAAAUCCCUUUGCAAGAGAUGAGUUUUCGUUCGAAACCGUGAUACUUCGAAGCAGAUCGUUCAGUUUGUACACGAACUGUAUCCAAUUUUAGCCGUAACCCUCUCAACUUUUUAGCACAAACUAUGUGGGUGAAAUAAUGAUUCCACGCCAAGUUUCAACAUUUUCAGAGUUCAUUAUAGUGCUUUCAAAUUGCAGGGGCAUUUAGCUCAAAAAAAUCAUUAAAUGCAUGAAAACUAGCAAAUAAAGUUGGAAAGGAUUAACUCUGGCUUGGUUAACCUUAGACGAGAACUCUGUCGGGGACGGUGCUAGCAGGUGUAGUCGACCGUUAUGAUUGGACUCUUGGCUAAAGGGGGAUUCUAAAAUUUUCAAACUCCCCCCCCCCCCCGGCCCACGUGGACCAUCUUUUUUUUUGUAGAAAAUAAACAAAAAUGAUAAAAUCUUCAAAACAUAAAAUCCUUUGAGAUGUAGUUAGGUUUUAGUAUCUAGUUGGUACAGAAAUUUGGAGAUAUGAAUUUUGACCGUUUUUGCAAAAAAAGGAAAAAAAAUGUAAAACGGCCAUAACUUUUGCAUACGAUGUCCAAAAAAAAUGUUUAAUAUAUCAUAACAAAACUAGAGAAAAAUCCGGACUCGAUUUCAUCCGGGAUUGCCCGGUGAAGUUUUCUCAGAUGCUGAAAAUUCCAAAUGUAAAAAAGUUAUUUCAAAAAGAAGGUUUUUUCCAAAAAAAAUAAGAAAAAAUAAUUUUAUUUAAAAAUAUUAGGUUGUUUUCAUUGAAAUUCACUAUUAUUGUUAUUUAUAAGGUUUAUUUUAAUAAUUGUUUGUAAUUCAAAAAAUUAAAUCACGUGACAUGACAUCAAGACCCAGGUUGUUUAGGAUUAAUAGCUUACUAUUGCCAUAUAACCAGAAAGUUAAGCAUGUUCGGGCUAAAGCAGUGAGAGGAUGGGUGACCGUCCAGCAAGUUAGACGAUUUUGAAUGAGUGAUCCACGCUAGAGCAGUGAGGAUGGUUGAUUAGAGAUUAAAUUAUCAAAUAAUUCAAAGAUUUAAAAAUUGGAAUAAAACAGAAAAACAAAUCAAAAAAUAUUUAUAAAUAAAAUUUGAUUUUUUUUCUUUUCGGGUCAAACAAACAAAAUAAACAGACGGAUCUUUUAGUACAUGAAGAGCCAUUAGCCCCGGUUCUAGGCUAAAGGUCCUUUUUCUACUAGUGAAUACAUCUGAUCAACCCCGAAGAUGUGCAAGCCGCCAUACAUUCUAUAAAGUGAGUAGAAUCAACACACCGUCCCGGAGCAUGUCACUAGUUAAGAUGCUAGUUAUUUACAGUAGAGUUAGGCCUUGGUCAAAACAAAAAAUAUGUUCAAACACCACCGCGUCUUCAUGACCAAGAAAAUGAGCUAGACCGAAAAUAACAAUCAUAGAACGAGUUUAGGCGCAGUUUGACACGUCAUGGAUGUGUGUUGUUUGUUGCGUAUCACGCAUGAAAAUGGAUUCAAUGUCUUCAUUGCUAACAUGCAUAUUAAAACAAAUUAUUUUGGGAUCCCGCUCAUAGGGACGUCGCAGGAUAUGGUAGCCCGUGCAGGAGAGAUGGGUUCUUCGAACAGAUCUGGAUGAAAGCUUGCUUUCGGCUACUGCCAAGGCCGGCGAUGGCGACGCUGUCUACGUCGUUCCCUUCCUGAAGGCAUCGUCAAGGAAAAGUUCAAGACCACUCUCUACUACCUUGGGGGAAACACUAGAUCAGUAGAUCGGAUGACGGCAACGCUCUGGUGUCGUUUUCCGCUUGGGGGCGUCAUUCAUGCAGGUACACACGGGCUCGAGGGGCCAUUGGUCGGCAUCUACGGUGGAGCGGCGUUCCCUGUAACACAUCGACAUCGUAGAGUCUCGGCGGCGAGGCGCAGCAAAGUCUCGACGACGGAUGCGUGAUGAUGAGCGCGCGUAGGGAGGAGGCACUGUCUGGCGCCAUGGGGGCAUCGACGGCACGCCUUGCAAGGUCGAUGCGUCAGUAACUGUUCUGAGGAUGGAUUGAUAUAGAAGGUGGCGGCGGCGACGACAUAUGAGGGUGCGUCGGACCGGUUUGUGCCCCUGACCCGGUAUCGGCUCGAUCGGGGCCUCCGGCUUUAGAUGUUAGGCUAGGUGAGAGGUCUGGGUAUGUGGCUCACACUUUCUGUACCCCUUCAUCAUUGGAUAGGAGUAGGGACAGAUGUUGCCAACAGGACCGCUUCAGACAUAUUAUUUUAUUGCUUUGUAAGAUCUUUGUGAAUAAUUAAUAAAGUGGCUCCAUGCAUCUUGUAGAUGCAGAGGCCGGAGGUCAUUCUUCUUUUCUAAAAAAGCAAAUUGUCUGCUCGAAAGGACAAACCCUAGCUAUAUAUGUGCGUUAUUAGUUCCAUGCCAUGCACAAUUUCACGAGCUCCUCCAUGGAUUUACCAUUCUAGCGAAGGAAGAUAAAUCGAGGAGACUAGAGCACCACACCUUUAUUUUCAGAUGUGAUAAUCACAGGCAAACAUGCAACACUGUACAAAUAAGGCAACUGCCCCUCGAGUCGAUGAAAUUUCUGACAUUCCUGUUUUGAGUUUCCAUGUAGAGUACUAUUUGACAGGUAGCCAGACAGAAGGAAACUAAAAUUUCGCUUAUUAUCGAAACGGGAAAUAAUUAAGAAACAAUCACUUCUUAAUUCCGCUGAAAUACAGUACAGUAUGUGCACCGGCAUCCACCUGCAUCACAAUCACCAACCGCGCCAGGGCCGACGUUGGUUUGACAGUUGUGAAGACACGUCUUGGGGUUACACGGCCCAAGGAUGACAGGGGUCUGAUGGCAGUCUUCAGGGAUUAGCGAGCCGCCGCCAUUAGCCGUCGCUUGGAUCACCACAUCUACAUGUUCGUACAAGCACAUAAAGAUUGCAGAGAGAAAAUGAUAGUGGAAGGUUCUCCACAAAAAAAUCAUCGCAGAACAUGCAGCAAACGUACGUACCUGAGGAGAGCAGCGUUACAAGGGCAAGCGCAAGUAGUAGCAUCUUGUAGAACGACCUCAUCCUGGCUUGAUGCUGGCAGGCUGAGAGAGAGAUAUUUUUUUCGCUGGGAGGUUAAGCCAAUCUUUGCAGAUAUGCCUGGCUGCCUGCUCUGUCAAUAGGGCCUUAGAUGGCUUUUAUAAUGGACAUAUAUGCAUGCAAACAAGUGUUUGAUUUCUUUACUUUUGUUCUAACGUUUAAUUACAGUAAAUCACGGGCGCUCUUUUGCUAUCCUAUAAAUGUGCAUGUUGUAAUACAGCUGUUUAUUUAAGGGGAAGACAGCUAUUGAAAUAUCUGCACAUAUAUUGCUUACAGCUCUUAUAUAUAGUAAAAAGGCAAGUCAAUAACACCCAAAAUACACAGCUCAUCUACUGAUGGCAUUAUUAAUUGUGCAUAUAAUCGUAAAUUGAUUGUCUUGAAGGACGAAACAAGAAUCGGUUUAUGGUAAACUUCAAGGCAAUCAAUGUAGGAAUAUAUUCAUCUUUUUUUGCGGGUGAAUAUAUUCACAAUCAAUAUAAAUCUUUACAGAAAUAUGCAUAUAUUGUUUACAUAUCAGUAAAAAUGUUAACAACAUUGGUAGAUGCAAAUUACUUUAUUUUGGAAAAAAAUGUAAAGCGGGUUGUUUUUGGCAAGGUAGUCAAAAUUCCGAUCGUAUCGUGAUUCUACAUUAUGAUGUAAAUCGAUUGGAUAUCCACAUUUUCACAAUCCUACUCGAUAUGAGCUAAGGAUUUGCAAUUUUACCAUAAAGGAUCCGAUCCCAAAUCGCGAUACUGGCUAUCUUGGUUUUGGUAAGCUUCUACUACCUUGUCAAUGAAUACAUAAUUUCUUCCCAAGAUCAAUUAAUUUAUGAGGAAGGAGUACCUAACAAGUCUGCAUGGUCAUGUGUGUGCGUGCUUCUAGAUAUAUCCGACGCGUGCAGCCUUUUAGGCCACUUAGGCACGUUUAGGAAUUCGUCCAAGUUUAGAUUAAAUAUUCAGGAAUCCGUCCAGCACCAGGAUGCAUUUUGGCAUAUUUAAAGAAAUUUUGCCCGCGUGGCGGUUUGGCUUGUUCUUGCUGUUCCUUUUCUUUUUUUACUACUAGUACAAAUGCCCGUGCGUUGCACCGGGCUAGAAAAAAGUGCAAAACUUAUUUGUUUUACCAUUAUGUGGCAUUAAUUUUAAUAAAUGUCAAUUAUAAUGUUAAAUGUAAGACAUCUAUUUUUGGACGGAAGGAGUUUCUUUUAAAGUUUUAAAAUAUAAUGUAAUGCUUACAUAAAAAUUGAAUUACUUUUUUAGUAAUAAUUAUCAAUUUUAUUGAGUGGUAAUAAUGGUUUGGCAAAUACAGUACUACCGAGCAAGGUAAAUUUUGAUCUUGUCAUCCUUCCAGGCUAACCAAAUUAGGCCGCAGCGGGCACCUAGUUCAGAAGACACCACAUCACAUAUUUCUUAGCUUGAAAUUGAUAGGCAACCCAACAUUAAACGAACCAGGAGCAGAAUCAGACACACACAGAGAGAAAUCUGAACCCGAACCUCGACCUCACUUCAGGUCUGAAGUGAGUGAGUGAGGUCUAAAGUGAGGGUUGAGCGCCACAGGUAAAUUCAGACCACAGGGUUCUUAGAUCUAAUCAAUUUCAAACGUUCUGUAAAAGCAGAAAACUGAACUAAUGGCCACGACAAAUGUCAGAAGUGGAGAAGCAACCCGACCCGAGGAGCAGAGAAGAGGAAAUGAUGCUUCAUGGUAACGAGGCACAUAACGUAAGCGUAGCAAAUAGUUUACCAUGAGAAGAGGAAGAGCAUGAGGGCGCAGGCACGGGAGCCCCCCGGCUUGAGCCCGCGUCCGCAGCAGAAGCACCGGCUGGCGAGCAUGACGACGACCUGCGCGGCGGUGAGGAGGAGGAGCGCGCCGACGCCGUAGCCGGUGGCGACGUCGGAGUCGUAGACGCAGUAGUCGUACUCCUUGGCCAGAUCCGGCGUCACCGUGGCCUGCACACCAUUUUGCGUCAACUGAUUAAUCAGCGGGGCCAGGGCGGUCGCGAGAUCAGGCGAGCGAGCGAGCUUCUGGGCGUGCAGGUGUAGGUGCAGGGCUUACCUUGCUGCGGUGCUGCUCGGCGGCGACGGCGAGGCCGAAGGCGAAGAGGUUGAGGAGCAGGGCGGAUACCUGCACGAUGAUGGACGCCAUUGCUCCCUCUCUUUGUCUCUUUGUUUCCUGGGUUGCUUGCUCUGCUGGGGAAAGUGAGGUGUGGAGGACGACGGGACCCAGGGCGAUGCGCGGCAAGCAGGGAAGUGUCGGCGCCCGGCACGGCUCCGGUGGCCGACAACGAGGCGGGCAGGACCGAUUGAGGAGGCGCGGAUGGGGUUCUCCGACCCAGACCCGGCGAGAUCCAGCUCGCGAUGGGGCCGACGGGGCUCCACGGGAGGCGAGCUCGGGGCGGUUGAUCUGCCGAAGGAAUUCGGCUGAUGGCGGCGCGGCAGGACGGCGAGCUCGGAAGCUCGGCUGGGCGCGAGAGGCGCGGGAUCCGACGACUCCCGGCGGCGGGGCUCCGGCUGGCGAGGGAGGUCGAGGAGCGAGGAAGGACGCCACGACCCAGACGAUGAAACGUUUUUUCCACUUAUUAUAGGACUGCGGGUUGAUUUCUAAGAAAAAGAGGGGUUGUUUUGCAAAAACGCCAGCGACGGACGACAUAAGCGCUCCGAAGGUGUGCAUGUGUGGUUAACGAUGUUUUCUUUCCUCUCAAUUUAGUUUUAAUUUAAUGGAUAUUUAUUGCAAUUCGUAUGGUCGCCAGAAAGAAAGAAAAAAAAAGACCAUGCACUACAGAUUAAGUUUGCACCAAAAAUAAUAUUUAAGAAGUAUUCAACACCUAAAAAUAACAUUCUAUUUAGAUUCUACACAUUUUUGCAAUGAAAUUUCAUAUAUAACAUGUUAAAAUCAGAGUUACGGUUUAAAAGAUAUGGAUAAUUUUGUUUUAGAUAAAAUAUGGAUUGAUUAACUGAGGUCGGCCGCGGCGGCGAGUGGUGUGGCAGCGGCCUGGGCAUAGGCUAGGGUGGACCAGGGUCGACGCGAUGCGCUCGAGCGCCGCAACGGGGGCAGUGAGCGGGGAGAGGUACGGCCGCGGAGGCGGGUGGGUUGACAUCGGCAGCGGUGGCGGUUGAGGUCGGCCACGGCGGCGAGUGGUGUGGCGGCGGCCUGGGCACAUGCCAGGGUGGACCAGGGUCGACGCGAUGCCGCAAUGGGGGCAGUGAGCGGGGAGAGGUACGGUCGCGGAGGCGGGUGGGUUGAGAUCGGCAGCGGUGGCGGUUGAGGUCGGCCGCGGUGGCGAGUGUUGCGGCGGCGGCCUGGGCACAGGCCAGGGUGGCCCAGGGUCGACGGGAGGAGGCGAUGCGUACGGGUAUAAUUUUUACAGCGAAUCGUUUUUUCUUUUGCGUUGAAGAUAAAUGAUGGAGCGCGGGUUGAAUAACAAAAGUUAUGGAAGCUUUUUUAUAAAAAUAUCGCGGUGGGUUUUUCGACGGAAGCAAUAGCCGCUUUAUUAUUAGGUAUAGAUUUUGCCCGCGCGGCGGUUUGGCUUGUUCUCGCGCAAACAAGCUGUGUUUUUCGCUUCGAGUAAUUCGUCUGGUCUGUCUUGUCAUAGUCGUACUCCAACCCCUGGGUGCAUUCCAGGACGCCUAAAUUGUUGUCCUUGACCGCAACCUUCGAAAACAGCUUAUAAGCUUUGAAACUAACUAUGUGCCGUGGCUAGCUCCAUCUUUCGCAUCUGCUGCAUCUUCUUGCUUGCUUGCUUCUCACACCGAAAGCUGCAAACAAGGUUUCCAGCUAGCAUACGGGGUGCAGCUAUAGUUCUCCCAAGUACGUAAUACACAUGCUAGCCUUAGCGGCAGCCAUGGGAGUCCAACUUGAUCUUGGACCACAACCCAAAUUACAUGUGCUGGGUUAUGGGUAGAGAUUGCUAUCUUUUGCAAUGAUGGUUGACUGCGCCCGAUAACAUCUGCAAGCAACCGGUUGAACUCGUGCCCCACAAUGGUCAGAGGGGCAACUGCCAUGCCAUACCAACUAUUGUCAUGGAGGGAUGCAGAAGCUUUGUGAUGGAACGCCAACACGGUCCAUAUAGAGGCAACUCGGGCUGCGGCGACGACCUUGCUACGGAUUGUGGUAGCCACCGAAAGAAGUUGGUGAGGGUUCUUAUCUCCAGAACCGGUAGUUGACUUCGUCUGUCAGAUUAAAACUAUGGUGACGGCCUGGUUGUGCAUCGGUUUUCUCACAUCAAUGUAGCUGUUCGGAUCACGGAAAAGUGAUGGUCAAAUCACGUAGGCGAUGUGAAUGGUGGUGCUACUUGAGCACUCAGUCUCGGGUUUUGGAGUGAAAGCUUUGGUCUCACCCAAUUGGGUAAUAAUUGACAAUGGUAAUGUCUUUAAACCAUUACCUUGUUGGAGGCAUUGCUCGGAGAUGCUUGAACUAGUUUUCAGGGUGAAAGCCUAGAUUCUAGCCUUGCGUCCUUGGAUCCGAUGACCUUGGCGCUUCAGCGUGGCUCCCUUUCUAAAGGCGUUGCUGUUGAAGAACCUCGGCAUCUAUGUCGUAUCAUGAGAUGUUGGCGUGGAUAUAGUCAUUGUUAUAGUUUGUCUGAACGUUUUGGAGGCUUUUCAUAUUAUUCCUCGCCUAACAUAGCUUUGGUCUUAUAUGACUUUGCUACUUGUUAACGUGUUUUGUGGGCAUGCGUUGAUGUUGGUUGUGUGUAUGAUAACUAUUCAAAAAUCGGUUGUGUGCUUUUUGUGUUUGUAUCCUCUUAAUAUUCCAUUUUAAAGCAAUAAAAUUGACCCUUUAUUGUUAAAAUGGACUAUCCCGAUGAAAACGAAUUGGUGGAGCUCACCGAGGUGACGAGUUGUUGGGUAGCAUGGUCAACGAGCUCACGGGUGGCAACAAGGUGCAAGACGCUCAUUGAAAUCGAUUUCAUGCCUCCGUUCAUGGACUCGAAGACAUGGCCGAUCUUUCUUUUUUUUUGCAAAAGGAGGUUAAACCUCCAGCCUCUACAUCAAUCGAUGCAUGCAGUCAUCUUUAUUAAUUAUUUCACAAAGGUUUAACAAAAGUAUACAUCAAUUCACCUAAAGUCAUCACUCACACCUACAAAUUCGAUAAUGUAGAGUGCUCUCACUCCACAUAUCUAAGACCGGUGUUGUCAUCAAUCCAUCCACAUAACGUAUCGGAAGCAAUAGCCGGUGCAGCAUACCUAAAACGCACACCUCACGCACACGUUUUACAAGCCGCCAUCAUCAUCGAACCACUGACCCAUCUUUAGGAAAGAGAUCCGCAUCAUCCAUGCCAGUCCAAACAUCCGUCGACGCCACCACGGCGCCCAACGGCGUCACCGCCCUGCGCUCAUCUGUCCAGAUGCGAAGACUCCGGGAGAUCUGUCGUGCGUAGCACNNNNNNNNNNNNNNNNNNNNNNNNNNNNNNNNNNNNNNNNNNNNNNNNNNNNNNNNNNNNNNNNNNNNNNNNNNNNNNNNNNNNNNNNNNNNNNNNNNNNNNNNNNNNNNNNNNNNNNNNNNNNNNNNNNNNNNNNNNNNNNNNNNNNNNNNNNNNNNNNNNNNNNNNNNNNNNNNNNNNNNNNNNNNNNNNNNNNNNNNNNNNNNNNNNNNNNNNNNNNNNNNNNNNNNNNNNNNNNNNNNNNNNNNNNNNNNNNNNNNNNNNNNNNNNNNNNNNNNNNNNNNNNNNNNNNNNNNNNNNNNNNNNNNNNNNNNNNNNNNAUCUGUCGUGCGUAGCACCUGCCAACCAGGCAUGACUCAGCGUAGCACCUGUCGGCCAGGCAUGACUUGACAGCUCCACCGAAAUUUCGUGCAAGACGAAGCCGCUCCACCUCCUGCCUCAGUCUGCCAGCGGUGCUACACAAACGAUGCUCCCAAGAGAGAAACAGCACCGCAGUACCGCCAUCGUCCGAUCUGGAGGCCAGAUCCUAGGGUUUCCCCCGAAGCAGUGCCCACCACCAGCAACCGUUCACGACCCACACAGUGCCUACCACCACUCAGCCCUCUAGGCGACGCCUUCAGGAAGGUCACGACAUCAAGGACGCCGCCGCCGCCCACCGGAGUUAGGGUUUUCACCCGAGAGGCAAGGAAGGGGAGCAGAGGAGCAGAUGUAUACCGACGUCUCCAAAAAGAAUAACGGCACCCUAAAGCAUCGGUGGCGGCGCGGCCGGCCUGGGCCAACCAAGCGGUUUCCCCCAAUCUGAAUCUCCUCCACCGGCUUCACCCGCAGGUAGGGCCCCGCCAACCACGCCGGCACCGCCAAGAAUCCGCAGGAGAGAGGCCCACAUCAGGGCCCGAGGACAUCGGCCAGAUCUGGCGCCGCCGGCCGCCAUAGCAGCCACGUGACGGCUGACCAGGCAGCGGUCAACGAAGGGGAGCAGCACACCUCCACAAUGACGCUUCCAAGAAAGAUAGCGGCACCCGCGGGCGUCGCCAUCGCGGCUCCGAUGAGGACCAGAGCAAGGAUUUCUCCUGGAGUUGCGCUGAACAUCCACCGCCACCGACCGCUGAGCAUGGCCGCCACGCACCACCACGACCCCCAGGCAGGGUCACCGCACCGCGCGCCCUGGCCACCGCAGUUGCGCCUCGCCGACGCUCCCUGCCACCGCAGCCGCGCCCGGCCGCCGCUUCCUACCACCAUGGUCGCGCGCCCCGCACAGAUCCGGCCAUGGCAGCCCCGGAUCCGCCCUCAGGCGCCGCCGGUGGGCGACAUCUUGCCGGAUCCCGCAGCCGCCGACGCGGGGCGGCCCGCCAGAGCCCGAGGGCCGNACGCGAGGGGCCCCGCCGCCGCCAUCCCCCCGGGGCGCGCGCGGCUUCGCCGGUGUCCCCUCCGGCAGCGGCGAAGCGGGGAGGGGGUGGAGAGAGGGGCCGGUGGCGGCGCAAGAGGGUUGGCCGGUGACGACGCGGGGAGGGGGCGGAGAUGGGGGCCGGUGGCGGCGCGAGACGACGCCCCCGAGUUGGAUCGCCGGCUUCUUUGAACGCUCUGGUGCCUUCCUGGACGCCAUCUGAUAGUGAGAAUGAAUUCUUCAGACAUGGCCGAUCUAAACAUGCCGGAAGAUCCGUCGAGGGAGGAAGCCAACUAGUACUUGUGGAUGCUUGUGCCAGGUACGACAAUACAUGCCUGCUUCCACACAUGACCACGAGGCUGCUCGACAAACUAGUUUUUUUAUAAGGGCAGUACUGGGCGUCGACAAACUAGUUUUUUCAUAAGGACAGUAUUGGGCGCCGGCGCACCGGCGCCCCAGCUUAGGCCGAUCAAUCCUGCAUCGUCCGAUUAGAGUUGUUGUAAUCAUUGGAUCUGCUCUACCCGUCUGGCAAAAAAUAAACAACCCCACACCGCGCAUGCAUAGGAGAAGUCAACGGCGAUAUCUGAGGCAGCCGCAGCUAGCCAACUUCCGUCAAUGGUGAACUCCGCACUUGCCGCUGCCGUCGCUCACAGCAUCGCUCGUCUACGGCCCUUGCAGCUUGCAGCAGACAAGCAACCACGGCGAGCUAUGAUCGCGCGCAACCCCGGCGAGCGGCAAUGGCCACCGGCCCCGGCGAACGGCGCCCAUCCCCGGCGAGGAUGCCAUUAACCCGGUCCCGCGCCCACAGCCACCUCUUUUCCGAGCUCCGGCGGACGGGCUGCAUAACUGCGACGGCGAGGCACACCCACGAUACAGGAUGCUGGAACUAACAUCGAUUUUUGAUGCAUGCUUCAACCGGCAUCAUAAUUUGCUACAACCGGCAUCGCUAUUUGCUGUAACUAGUGUUGCAUUUUGCUACAUCGCACAUGGCUUUGCGAUUUUUGCUACAACCGGCAAUGAAAAAGCUACAUUCGGUGACAUGAUUUGCUGCAACGGCCACGAUGAAGUUUUUGGUGGCAACGGUGGCGUUGUGAUUUUUGCUGCAACCUUGUCGGUCCUUCGUUGUAGCUUUUUUCAUCAACGGUUGUAACAUUUUAUGUCAACGGUUGAAACAUUCUGUCAUGACAAUGGCCGUUUGUAGCUUUUUAUAUGUCUGGUUACAGCUUUAUUCAUCAACGGUUGUAGCUUUUAUGUCAAUGGUUGCAGCAUCCCGCCAUGACAAUGACCGCUUGAAGCUUUUUAUAUGCCCGGAUGAAGCUUUUUCAUCUGGGUUUGAAGCUUUUUUUGACAGCGGUUGUAGCAUGAGCGUAAAAAAUGGUUUUCCAUCGCCGUCUAGCAGCAGCCCCAUGUCCACAAGCGCGUCCGCUUGCAGCACUAACUCGAGGGCCUCCUCAGGCGAUGCGACCCCACCGGCGAAACCAUGAGAAGCUUGGCUGGGGGACGAGAUGCUCGUAGAAGCACGGGGGAGAAGAAAGUUUCUCGCCGCAUCAGGUCGGCGUCCUCAACGACGGCGGCCGGUGGUCGCCCUCAACAGAUGAGAGAAGGUGAGGGGGAGGAGAAGGUCGCUCGGGGGAGAGAAGGGUGCUCGCGUGUGGCCAAAAACUCGCGCUAGGGGAUAAGGGUGUGACGGGAUGCGAGCCACUAGAUCUAAUCGCAUCAGACGUCGCGUGAUGGACCGGCCCGAGCGUUCGGCCGGACUGUCGUAUGUAAACGUUUUCCUUUUUAUAAAGGAGGAUUACCUGCACGUGAAAUGAUGCAUGUAGUCAUUUUAUUAACUUUUUACAAAGACCUUGCAAAAUAGUAUAUUAGGUAGUUUGAAGUCAUCAUUUUAAAACAAUUAUCAUUAGUCCUAUCCACUUGAUGAAAGGAUGCCGAUAGUCCGAACCUAAUACCAAACAGACAUCGCAUGAAUGCCUAACAUCUAACAUCGGAGGUCCUAACCGAGCCACAUACUGGGUUUGGGGUACAAACCGAUCUAAUGCACUCUCAUGUGUUGUCGUCGUCAUCUUCCACCAAUCCAUCUUUAAAGAAGAACCUAACGCACUGACCUUGCUAGGCCACUUUGCCAUCGAUACCACCAUGACGUCAGACAAUGUUCUCCUCCUACGCAAUUCCAUCUCCAUGCAUCGUACAUUGAGUUUCCACGGCGCCAUGCCACCGAGAUCCGGGGCCGGAUGGCUCGUUACCCGCAGCCACCGCCCGAGGCAGAGCCAACCGUCGUGCCUCCGCCGGUCAAGGCAGGGACGCCUGCCCCGGCGCCAAGGGGCUCCGCACGAUCCCCAUGAUACGGGAGAGAGGAAGGACACCGACAUAGCCGUCGGCUUCCGGGCUAUAGGCCGGUAGCGUCCUUCGGUGGUGGCGGGGUGAGGGAGGGAAGGAGGGAGAGCCCCUGACGGCUAGGGUGUCCUCCUGCCCGAGUCACCAUAGUUGAGGCGAUGCGAGGGGUGUGAGAUCCGAUCUAAACCCCACAUUCAUUAUCCAACCGGAGAUCAUGACCACACUGGCAAGUCCCACAAGGAUGAGUCCCGACCUGGGGUCAACGGAAGGUUUGAGCUGUUCAUCAACAAGCAUGAGGUGUGCAACGCCUAAACGAACAUAAACUACCCCGUCGUGCAGAGGCAGCGGUUUGAGGAGCAACUCAGGGAUUGUCAACAUGGUGACGAUGAAGCGAUGUCCAUGGUCGUAACGUUUUGCACUACCCUUUAGUACGGUCUGCCACUGACAAGGGCCCGCGGUCUGGGGAUUUAUCGCGUGAUUAUGUUGUCGAUGGAUGCACAGAACAUCAAGGAUGUCCUCAUGUUCCCGGCCAUGAAGCCUCCAGAUCAGUUGCCGUAUGGAAAGCAGAUAUCCUUUUUUCCGAUAAUGUAAGAAAAAUUUGGAGUGCUGAUUAUAUUUUCUUCAUCGUUAACUUAUAUACAUUGAGAAAUAACUAGUCUAAACCCUCACGGUCGCAGAGUGCUGCCCACCUUAGUUGAUGGAUUUAGGUGUAUCUUUUUGAAUUUUUAUCUGUUUGUUCUUAUUUCGUUACCUUGUCUGCACUCUGUUUCAAUUUUCAUGUUACUUUGUCUUCCAACAUCUGUUGGCAAGUGAAGUUCACAUACUACCAUUCGGUAAAAGAAUGAUCUCAUGUGUAAUGCCUUACUUUUGUACACCACUGUACAAUAUGGUUUUAUAUAUCUUUUUCUUUUGUCAUUUUGGUUUCAACCAAUAUUUAGUCACAUCAGCACCAUUUAUGCAAUAAUAUAUGCUCCCUCCGUAUCAAAAUAUAAGACGUUUAUUGACACUAUAUUUUGAUACAGAGGUAGCAGCUAAUAAAAGAUACUCUUUCUCAUCCAUAUUACUUAUUGCUUAAACGGAUGUAUCUAGCACUGAAAUACAUCUAGGUGCAUAUAUUUCAGCGAUAAGCAAUAUCCAUAUGAGGCGGUAUUUAUGUUUUUUGUUGCUUCCUGUAGUUUACAUGUGCUUGUUUUUUUUGUGGGGGACACGUGCUUGGUUUGUAUCCUAUUUAUACACAACAGUGUAUUAUUCCAGAGAUAAUUUUUGUUCAGGUACAAACAAGACAGCUUAGCGCAAAUUUAAGUGUAAUUGCAAAAUUGAUCGACUGAGUGUACCCAAAAAUGCAAGCAUGCACUACUGCUAAUGCCUUGCAAUGACGGACGCAAAAAACCUAGGAGUGGCGGGCAUGACUCCCAGGGGCACCCGCCACUGAUCUCCCGUCAACAUGGAAUCAGUGGCGGGUGCGCCCCUGCCACUAGUACAAUUCUUUAGUGGUGGGCAAGCUGUGGGCGACCACCAGUGAUAACUUUGGCAUGCAAAUAAUAUUUUUUGCACACACAGCCUCAUUUGAGCUGCGGUGGUUGCCUUUUGCGUAAAACCCAUAUCAUAAACUGCAAUAUGCGGCAAGAUUACAGUGACUGUGAAACAUAUUACGACAUUAAAGAAUACGUUAACCACUAGCUAAUUGUUAUCAACCAUGAUUAGGAAUGCACCAACUAGGUUGUAUCAUCUUAGCUAGGUAUCUACCCAUCACAUAGUAAUAAAUAUGAUCGACGAUACACACAUCCAACAUUUAGUAUUACCGAUCAUCACAAGUACUUGGGCCUAGUACUCUCUAUUAGGAAAAAUUGAAAAGAAUAGGAAAACCCAAACAUCCACCAGUCUCCAAUUUAGGGCCUGCACCCAUUCAAUAUUUGCAUCCAUCCUUGAAUUUUCAUGCGUCCAUUUGAUAGGCUUUCAGUCGAGUAUCUAUCUAUGAAAUUGGUCUUCUCAUAGCAAAUGGUUGCCAUCUCACCUUCCACAUCCGUUACCGCAUGCACAACAACUCUUAGGAGCUUCUUCUGAAGAACGUAAUAGUAAAAUAGUUAGCAAUGUUGUUAAUUUUAGUAAAAUGUAUGAAAAAGGACAAGUGACACGAUCGUAAAUAAUCUAACCAUGCAUUUUCGACAAAUUUUAAUGCCGCUCAACUUGUAGACUAGUGGCACGUAUCGUGUAGUAUUUGGGUAAGCUCCAUUGGUGCCCUUAAAAGACUGGACAUCACUAUUAGAGGAGACAAGAUAACUACCAGCAGACGAGGGAGAAACUUCAAAUCCCAAAUUUCAUCUGCUUCACUAGGAUGAUAGAUGACUGAAGGUUCCUUCCUAGACAUCCCAAAAUUCCAACAACCGCCAUCAUAUCUUGGUAACUUUUCGAUGCCUCCUACUCCUAGCAUCGUGUGGCCAAGAAUAAAGUAUAUAAGAUAUAUAUGCUACCAACAAUGUUGACUCGAUCGACUGCUCUACCAAAGCUUUAGAGCUGCUCUAGAAUUCACCGCAUUGCGGUGUAUAUUAUGGGUUCUGGGAUAGUGUGUUAGUGAGUGCGUGUGUGAGGGCUGGGGAGGUUGGUGAAGAACGGAGAAGCAGCCAUGCAAAAAUAUGUAUAAUAACGUCAGUACAUAUUAAUGUUGACCGAACACACCCAUGUUACAAAGUGACUACCAUAAAUAUGUAGACUGCCCGGACUUCGUCAUUACUUACGUGUCAGUUAUUUCCGGUACAUUUACUCAUUACUUGGGUGUAGCCACUACUUUCCCCACGAUCAAACCAAAAAUAUGUAUGUGCAACCACCACAUGUCCAUCAAAAGUGUAUUAGUAAACUUAUACACUAGAUAUACAUCCAUAUAUAAACAAGAGAAGAUUUAUUUUGUAAGAAUGCAAAAAAUGCCCAUUGAUGUGCCACCAGUCCGAACGGCUCCAAACCCUAAGAUACAACUUGCUGGGCCCAAACCACUAGUGAGCUGGGUCGCUGUAUAGUGUGAUGGGUUUUUUGAUAUGGAGUCAGGUUAGGCAGCUUCAUGAAUCAUUCUGAGAGACUCGGAUGGUGCAUUCUGGUGUAAUUGCUGCACUGACGGAUAACUUGUUGUAUGAAUAUAAUGCAGAUUGUGUUGCGCACGAUUCGAUGGGUUAUGUGAAGAUUAAUCGCACAAAGAAUAUUAGUCCUAAGUUAUUCUAUGCACAUAAGCUGCAGAAGAUGAACGAGGUGAGAAUCUUGCAUAAUAGGUCAUGUGACAAUAUUGCUGAUUUAUUAACUAAAUCAUUACGGACGACAUCCUUCUAGAGAUGUGUGCCCGUAGUCGGUAUGAUGAGACUUAAGGACAUGCAAGGUUUGGGGGAACCAAUUUCAAAAAAUCAUAAAAAAUCUCGGUCACGAUGGCGGAGAACUGAACUUGACGAUUGAAUGAAUUGUACUCUUUUUCCUUGAGUGAGUUUUUGUCAUGUUUCUCACAUGUGGUUUUUGAUGAUGUAGUUCGUGCUAUACAACGACAUAUAUUGUACGAUCUUUCUUCAUAUUUUUUUCACUGGAUUUUUCUACCUUUUAAACGAAUGUUUCCCCACGUUAAGAAGGUACAUGUCCCCUACAUCUAGCUAUAUAAAGAGGAGAGCACCUAUUGUAUGUAUGGUUGAUCAAUGAAUAAUAAAUAAAGACUCCCUUCUAAGUCUUUAUGACCAUUUACUUCAUGUAUCUCUGUGUGGUCGAAUAUGACGCUCGCUCCCCUUCCGCAACCUUCGUUGGACUCACCAACAGAAGUUGCGGAACAAUUUAUAUCUCUUGCAAGCAGAACAAUUAGCAAACCUUGUUGACCCGUGUCAGCACGAGGUCAGCAAUUUUUACUACCACGUGAACAGGAGCAUGAGGGUAACACACGAUGCGGACAAGAAAUAAUCCAUCACAAUGGCUGGGCAGAAAUCCGCGUCAAUACUUGGUGAAUGCCCAGCGUGGCUCGGUGGCAGCCGAAGAUGAACAGCGAAACGUUUAAUUGGGAGGACUGAUAAGAAUAGCUUGUUUUCUGCCUAGCCUUCCGGAAAUUCCAAGCACCGCCGACAAAUCUGCAAGCAUUCUAAUGCCUCCUGGUCCUAGUGAGUGGUGGCCGGAGAAAAAUUAUAUACAUACAUAUUGACUGUGGACUCUCUAAUUAAGAUUUAAAGUGUGUCGAGAUUUCAUUGAAAUGUGUGGCAUCGGUUUUGGGUUUUGGUAUAGUGUUGGUGAGUGCGUAUUCAUGUGAGGGUCCAAGAGGUGAGUGAAGAUGGAGAAGCAACAAGGGGAAGUGAUGCUUUUAAACACAGAAGAUAAAGAACUGGCCACGUCACGGUGGUAAACAAGAGUCAUUGAUGAUGUAAGCUAAUUUUGGCGAAGGGCCAUUAAAUGAAUUUUAGGCUCAAAAGGAGAGAGGCCACAUAUACACAUACAUAAAAUACUUAAAGUGGCUCAGCUAUCCCAUGCGUUUCAAGUAGUUUGGGUGAGUGCUUUGCUGGUUGCCACAUGUCCUCGGUUUAAAGAUCCUAAAUUCUGAUGUUUUUUCUUUUUCUUUUUUACUGCCUCCUAAAAAUAAUUACUACACACCACUUAUCUUGCACGCGGGCACGUUUUCGUGAAACGUCUCACUAUUUUUCAUAUUUUUUGUCUUUUUCUUUUGUUCUCAACGUCUUGAGAGAGAGAAGAGAGAGAGAAGUAAAGGUCAGAUCGACAAGCCCUGCUCCCAAAAUUCAUAGCACUGUCAUCAUUUUUUUUGCGUGAAAACUUCUGUCCUAUUUAUUUUCAAUUAUGGAAGUAGAACAAACAUCAGAAAUAAUAAUAAUACAUCCAGUUCAUAGAUCAACUAACAUUAACUUGAUGUUGCCUCCUACUCCUAGUGUGGAGUUGCCAAGAAAAAGAAAUAAAGCAUGUUUAUGCUUCUAGCAACCGUGACUGAUUUUUCUAUUGAAGCUUUAUAGGUGAUCCAGAUUUCAGCGCAUCGCGGUAGAAGCUUCUCGCAGCAUUGUUAUUUUCAAUUAAUUGUGGUAGAAGCUUCUGACUGUGAUUUUAUGCAUAUGUUGAUCGAUCCUGCAAUGCCGCUAGUGAUUUUACUCACCUUGUUAUAUAAAGUGACUAGCAACAAUAUAUAGUCCGACUAGGAUUAUGUCUCACUCUUUAUGUUGCCAGUAAUUUCAAGUAGAGUUUUUCUAGGGAAUUUCCGGUAGAGAGUUAGAACUUGGUCAAUCCAAUAUUAUGCAAGAGUAUGUGCAAACAUCACAACGAGUCCAUGGAGUGAGAAAAUAAGCAAGACCCAAAGAUUGCGAGGAAUAUGUAAAUUUCAUUUAUACAUAGAUUAUGCAUAAUUACUAGCAUUGCCCGCGGUCAUGAAUAUUGCCACGGUCACCCAUCAUGCGGUACACAGACCCAGCAACAUUGUAAUUAAUUCUAGCGAAAAGGACAAAACUCACUUGCAUAUGUUGAUUGUUCCUGCAAUGCCGCAAGUGAUUUAAUUCACCAUGUUAUAAAGUGACUACCAUAAAUAUAUAGACAAGCACGGAGUACGUUGUUGUCUAUGGUGCCAUUUAGUUUUAGUAGCGGUACACCUUGUUCAAAAUAAAAACAAGUAUGUGCAACCACCACCAUAUCUCCAUUCAGUAGUAGUUAGACAGUGUUAGUUUGGGUAUAUUAGUAAAAUCAUACUAAGAUACAUCCAAGUAUAAACAAGAAAAUAGUUACAUAUUGAUACUGCCAUCAUUCUGUAUGUAAAAAAAAAUCCUAAUGUCCAGUUGCAACAAGUUACUUAUCAUGUGGCAAGAGUCGUCUUCAUCCGGCCCGUCAAGUGUCUUUUGUCUGUCGAGUUUUCCACCUAGGUAUCGUAAACAUGUUUACCGAGUUCCCGAUGGCUAGUUCUCAGUAAACAGUCAUUUGCCUGAAAAGUUCGGGCGGAGUACUCUUAGCCAAGAACCAAAUGUUUAACUGGGAAGAUGGAAAGAGCUUGUGUCCUACCUAGACUUCCCAGAACUCCAAGCACCGCCGGCAAAUCUUUCAAACAGUCUGAUGCCUCCUAGUCCUAGACUCCUAGUGUGUUGUGGCCAGAGAAAUUACAUACAUAUAUGCUUCCAGCAACAUAUUGACCGUGGUCUUUCUAAUUAAGAUUUAGAGUGUAUCGAGAUUCCUAUGAAAUGUGCGGUAUGUGUUUCAUGUUUUGGGAUAGUGUUGGUGUUCAUAUGUGAGGGUCCAAGAGGUGAGUGAAGAUGGAGAAACCAGGAGCAGAAGUGAUGCUUUUAAAGACAAACGAUCGAUCAAGAACUUGCCACGUCACUGAUCAGGCGGUAGCUAGAGUCUCAGACCUCAGUGAUGUAAGUUAAGGGUAGCAGAAGAGGCUAAAGUCAAUUGCAUACAUUGAUCCAUCGUGGCGAUGUCCAACCUGUUAUGCUCCUAGUAACUUCAAUCACCAUGCUAUGAAGUGAGUGCUAGACCGGCUCGGAGUACGUCUUUGUUUCAAUUUCUUCAGUACUAACGUGUACAUUAAAUGAGUUUUAUGCUCGAAAGGACAAACAUCACACACACACAGGACGACGAGUCAAAAACAAUAAUGAAUCCAAACGUGUAAGUAAAGAAUGGAGAAGCAACGAGGGAAUCGAUGGGUUUUUCAAGAUGACGACAUAAAAGUACUAGCAAAUGCGUGUUAUUCAAUAUUAUCCAUGUCACCCAUCAACUGGUAGACAGACCCCAGCAACGUUGUAAUUUUCAACUAAUUGUAGAUAAACCAGAAAGGAUAAAAGUCACAUGCAUCUAUCGAUAGAUCCUGAUUUUACUCACCCUGUUGUAAAUUUACUUUUUUACAUGGGUAAGAUUUCGAAUUUGGCUAGGGCUUUUGCCUGCUAGCCGCGCGGGAGAGAGUAGGGAGGAGGCGCGCGCCAAGUUGAUCGUGGGAGAUUGUGCGGAGCAAAGGGGUGGCUGUGAUCGGGGGAGUCUUUCCCUGAGGAUUUUCUGAGAUUUGUUACGCUAAAUAAGAGAGGAUCCAGAAUUCCUUUUUUUUCUUCCCUACUCUCACGUGAUUAUGGUAGGGGCAUUUACGUUCAAAACCAACGAAAGUUUCUCUUCCAGAUCAUGCGUUAAUAUUGAUGCAAAAAACUAUACACCAACAUCUAGGAACGCAGGGACAAUAAUGUUUUUAAUUUUCUCAAUUUCUUUUUACGCCCACACGGCAGCCUGCCAAGGCACAAGCCUUGCAACGAUAGGGCUCAACCACAAGGAUUAAACAAAGAGAAAAGUAAAUAAAACUACCUUUUUUUCUUUUGUUUACCGCGCGCGACAUGCAUGUUACUUCGCGUGAGUCAAAAACAAUAACUUCCGCAUGCAUGCCAUCAGGAUCGGGGUGGAAAUUAUAUGUAAUAUGGUCGCCUUGACAACAUGUGAUAAUGAAAUACACCCUAUAACUUGAAGAGAGAGGAAAUGUUAGUUUGAUUAACAACGCACCACAUCAACAACGCACCACCACAAGACCAUAAACUUAACUUAUCUACAACUCGACACCUUGGAUCCCAACCCCUUACAAGUACAACAAAAUCACCAGCCCACUAGCAUAACACCAACGACGCACGCAGUCGAUGAUGAUUCUCUCUUAUCGCCUCAUGGGGACUGAGGUACUCCUCGAUGCACUGCAGCAUGAGGUGGAUGCAUUGCUUGGGCUUGGGCGUCUUGAGUAAGUGUAAGACGACACAAGGUACGAUGUCGACAUUGUAGUUCAUGGUCGACAUGUAGCCAACCGCGCCCGAGCGAUAGCUAACCUCGUUGAAUCCGACAUGGCUAUAAUCGAUGACCAACAUUUUUUUAGGAAAGGAGGACCCUUUAUUAAUGAAAGAAAUAGAAUAGCCUGCGGCUCCAAACAAUCUCAUAAGGAGCUGCAAAAUAAUCAAAAAGAAAAAAAAAUGCCACAACUGACAAAAAUAAGACUAGUUGUCUAACAAUCUAUCCUAUUAUUAAACAGCCAUCCAAACCGAUUAUAGAUAUCCCGAGCUAUUAUCUUCCACCAACCUCAUAAUCAGUGAUCAGCUCCAUGCUAUGAGCUCCAUGCUUGCCCUUGGGGCCUAUGGACCACCUAUUUUCCCUCUACCGCAUGCUAUGAUCUAUGUAAUGCUGUUUAACGUUCGGUAAAACACCACGAGGCUUUCCUCUAAAUAAACAGAAAACAGCGCAGCUAAGUGCAGGGACACUUCUAGUUAUUGACCUGUUAUAGACUUAUAUGCGUUAGAAAUUAUGGAUGAACAUGAUGAACGUAUUCUCAUGCCUUCAGGUGGGAAGGGGGGUUUCAUUAUUCUUGUGACUUUCAUCCAAUAGCAUGUCUUUCCUUUUGUUUCACUAAAUGACACACUUUUGAUUGGCAGCUAGACAAAAUGGCACAAUUUUUUUUCAUGCUUUAUUUUUAGGUCUAGAUCCACUUGUCAGCUAUGUUCGAUCGAACCUUAGUGACCAACUGGCGAGUGGUUGCGACAUUAGAGAAAGGACAACAUAACCACCUCAGCUUGAUUCGUCCUAGACCCAUACUACCAAAUCGAGACAAGCAUCGGACGAUCUGCAGACGAGGGGCACACGGCUCCCAUGCCACCAAAUCCCAAUGCUCAAGUCAAUAGCUGCCAUGACAGAUGACUAAAAGAUCUUCCCUAGCCUUCCAAAAAUUCAGACCACUGCCAUCAUAUCUUCUUAACUUGCUGAUGCCUCCUACUCCUAGCGUGCGGCCAAGAUAAAGAAAAAGCAUGUAUACGUUUCCAGCAACUUUGACUGCGAUAUUUCUAGUGAACCUUUAUACUGGUGUAUUGCGGUGUAUGUUUCGGGUUGGGUUUGGGAUAAUGUGUGUGUGGGGUUCGGGGAGGUUAGUGAAGAAUGGAGAAGCAGCGAGGGAGUCGGUUGGUUUUUUAAGAUGAUGAUGUAGAAGUACUUGCAUAUGUGUGCGGUCUUGAAUAUUAGCCACGUCACCCAUCAGUCGGUAGACAGACCCUAGGGACGUUGUAAUUUUCAAUUAAUUGUAGCAGAAACCAGAACGGACAAAAGUCACAUGUACAUGCAUAUGUUGGUCGAUCCUGCAAUGCCGCUAGUGAUUUUACUCACCGUGUUAUAUAAAGUGACUAGCAUCCAAAUGUAGACCGGCUAGGAGUAUGUCUCACUGUUUAUGUUGCCAGUUAUUUCAAGUAGAGUUUUUGUAGGGAACUUUGUCAAACCAGGCAAAAUUAUGCAAGAGUAUGUGCAACCAUUAUUAGAGUAUGUGCAAUCAUGUUUAUUUCAUUGCAUUAGUUCGUUCAUGCAUGUAGUUGAACUGAAGGCUUGAGGCUGCGGCAGUGAACGUGCUCGUAGAAGUGUGAGACAAGUACACAUGCAAGCUAAUAGGGCCUGAUUAAUUAGUUGAGUUAGCAUGAGCUGAUCAGUACCAUGCACGUACAUGCAGUUUGCAUGGAUGUGUUGGUUAGCUACAUGCACGUACAGCUCCGUGGAGUCAAGGCGGCCGAGUCCUACGGCAGAUCAGUGUGGAGCUAGAACUGGACGCAAUUGGUUGGGCGUGCGUCAAGUGUGCCGUUGCGGGUAAGCUCAUGUCUGUUGUAACUUGGAUUCGACUCAAUCUGCAGGAAUAAUCGGAUCAAGCAGCUGGCUUGGCUGGCGCGUCUGCGAGCGACCCUACACGUACGGACAAUAUUUAGGGAAAUUUACGAGAAUGAUUAGGUGAGCUAAGAUGAUUGAAAGAAAUAAGGGCGAGGGGGCCACACCCCUGAGAAUCGGGGGCGGUGGAAAUUAGUUGAUGAAGGAGUCCGUAAACCCUCCGUAUAACUCCGUAUGUUUAGAAUUUUCGCGCGUCUGCAUGCAACGUAGUGGGUUAGUGGGUGCGUGUGUUGUGUAGGUUUGGUACUUGAACACAUGUACUCAGCUGAUUUGCGUUGUGGGGAAUGCAAGAGAAAAAUGUAGCCAUUGUGAUAGCCAAGGAAGAGAGCAUCUCGACAAAGCCUUUGUGUUCUUCCUUAGUACAUGUGUUUGUAGAGUUUCUCCGUGGUGUGUGUUCUUGAGAGAAGAAGAGAGUGUUGCUAGGAGGUAGAAGAAGGCGGCGCAGCGACGAGACGGCGCCGACAACCACCACCACGAGUCCAUUGAGCGACGAAAUAAGCUAGUCCCAAAGAUUAUGAGGAAUAUGUAAAAAUUCAUUUAUACAUAGAAGACUCGUUCAGGCAACCACCGAGAAGAGAUGGCAUGAUCUGGAGACAUCGUACAUGCAUGCCACCUAUUAAUCUACUUGAAGAAGUAUGGGAGGUCGAGCACGUAGAGGAGGAAGUAUGCCCAGACGGCGCCGGAUACACCGCCGAAGAAGAAGCCUCCGGUGAACUGCGACCACCCUUCGGCGGUCUGGAGCUUGUCGGCCUCCUUCUUGCGUCCGGUGAGGGUGAGCACCGGCGCGGUGGACGGCUCGCCCUCGUUGAAGGAGGCGACGCCGUACAUGGUGAGGCAGACGCUGAGGAUGGAGACGAGUCCGAUGGCGCCGAGUGUGCCGGCCUGUCCGUGCACGGGCGUGUUGCGGAGCGGGCCAGUGAGCGCGAAGGGGCCGACGAGGAGGUAGCCAUGGGCGAGGCCGACCUCGAUGCCGCGGAGGAGCGGGCUGACGGCGGUGCGGUAGGCGGGGAGGUUGGAGAGGUACCACGCGACGAGGGGGCUGGAGGUGACCGGCGUCUCCAGGCUGCCGAUGAACGGGUCGCCGUUGAUGGGCUGGACCACUUGGUACGUCGGCUGAGAGGAAACACCAAAACAUGUAUGAGAUGCAAAGCAAGGCCUACAACAAGCUAAACCCUACUUGUAUCCCACAAAUUGUGGUUUGUUUUGGAUGAAUAAAUCUCUGUUCGUCCUAAAAAACAACACGCUAAACCUUAAUUUUAGCUCUCUCUUGCAUGCAAUUGCAAGUUUGCGACUGACCUUGUCAGACUUGACAGCCUUGACGACGAAGCGGGGCCUCCGGGUGAGCGAAGCGCCGGACAUGCCCCGCGGCUUGGAGCACGCCAAGCCGCUCUUCAUCACCUGGCUCGCCAUGGGAGGAGCAUAUGCAGUGGCCAUCUCGAUGUCCUCCUUCGACUCCCACACGCUCAACUCUGCUCUGCCUGCAGCGUCAAAUGGAUGGAUGUGUUACAAGAAGAAGAUCUGUCCAGAUGGCAAGAUGUUUUAGUGGCUCCAAGGGAGAGGGG
This 26372-nucleotide long non-coding RNA is filed under the name Hordeum vulgare. Its description in RNAcentral is "long non-coding RNA (HVUL_LNC006305)". Lineage: Eukaryota; Viridiplantae; Streptophyta; Magnoliopsida; Poales; Poaceae. The record is from RNAcentral.